UAAUUUUUAAGAAUUACUUUUAAACUUCUAAAAAAUUUAAAACUACAAACCAGUCUAAAAGUGAAUUUAGAUAUGGAAGAAAUUGACAAUGGGCCUAGAAUUAAUGCAAUGACACAAGAAAGCAGAACUGUGUAUGGUAGAUAGGUAAAGCAGACAUACGCAGCUGGAGAGAUAAACAUUUUUAGGUGAACGUGAUGCGUAACUCAGGGGAUUAGUUACCUUAUAUAAUUAUUUAAAGUAUAUAAUUUUUCUACAGUGAACAUUCAACUGCUAUAAAAAUGUAAAAUAAUAAAGUCUUGUUAUUUCUAUAAUGAUUAAAUUUUUAUUAAAUAAUUAUAAAAAAUUAUGUAUCUUAUGUAAUUAUAUAAAGUAACCAAAUUCCAAUAAAAAAAAAAUUCAAAAAUUUUGCAACCAUUCAGCCGAAGCAGUAGAUGUGGAGUGGGGUUCGGCUAACUUACAUUUUCUGCAUGUAACGGUCUAUGACAUGACCACUCACUCUUUAAAACAAUGACACAUGCUAAGAAAACCAAAAAGCAAAAAAAGAAUGCAUGACUGAGGCAUCCAAUAUAGCGCAAUAAGUGAAAAGAAUAAUGCUAAACUCACAAACUGUUACAAAUCUACGUUCUACCCGAUACAUAAACUGAAUAAUGGCGGUUGUUAAGUCCAACAGUUGUUACCAUUAACAUAAAAGCAUAAUUAACAAAAAUUAUCGUGUUACUGAUAGCAAUUAUUGAAUUGACAUAAUUAUAUAAUUUAAUAAAGUCCCCGACUAAUAUUAAAUUUCAUUAAUCCAUAUUUUGGAUUAGAUUAUAAAAUUUAUAAUUAAUAAAAUUAUGGAUUGAAUGUAGAUUUGUGUCCGAUUUAUGUAAAUAACCCUACAAGAUCACACAUGACACCACACAAAAUUUAAGAAAAUUUAAGCUUGUGUUAAAAUAUUAAAAUUUUGUCAUUUUAUAAUUAGUAUGCAAA
RNAcentral lists this long non-coding RNA (969 nucleotides) under Citrus x clementina. RNAcentral's name for it is "Citrus clementina (C. clementina) long non-coding RNA (CCLE_LNC001585)". The record is from RNAcentral. Lineage: Eukaryota; Viridiplantae; Streptophyta; Magnoliopsida; Sapindales; Rutaceae.